UACAGAGGUCUCAAGCGUUGUUCGGAUUCAUUGGGCGUAAAGGGUGCGUAGGUGGCGCCGUAAGUCGGGUGUGAAAUUUCGGAGCUUAACUCCGAAACUGCAUUCGAUACUGCGGUGCUUGAGGACUGGAGAGGAGACUGGAAUUCAUGGUGUAGCAGUGAAAUGCGUAGAGAUCAUGAGGAAGACCAGUGGCGAAGGCGGGUCUCUGGACAGUUCCUGACACUGAGGCACGAAGGCCAGGGGGAGCAAACGGGG
This 255-nucleotide ribosomal RNA is filed under the name uncultured bacterium. RNAcentral's name for it is "partial 16S ribosomal RNA". It matches the Rfam family "Bacterial small subunit ribosomal RNA", at positions 524 to 777 of the family's 1533-position model. The record is from RNAcentral.